Molecule: long non-coding RNA, 1276 nt
Filed under: Zonotrichia albicollis (white-throated sparrow)
Lineage: Eukaryota; Metazoa; Chordata; Aves; Passeriformes; Passerellidae
Description: lncRNA (ENSZALG00000001817.1)
Source: RNAcentral
CACCAAACUCACUCCCACUUCAUCCCAGUUCAAACCAGUAACACAAACCCCAAACCAGUAACUCCCAGUAACCCCAACCCCAUCCCAGUGACCCCAAACUCACUCCCAGUCCAUCCCAGUUCAUCCCAGUCCAUCACAGUCCCUCCCAGUUCAUCCCAGUUUGAUCCCAGUCCAUCCCAGUUCAUCCCAGUAACCCCAAACUCACUCCCAGUCCAUCCCAGUCCAUCCCAGUUUGAUCCCAGUCCAUCCCAGUUAGCUCCCAGUACAGCCCAGUAACCCCAGAAACCCCAAACCAGUGACCAAACCCCUCGGCCUACGAGCUGUAUGCGAGGGGGUACGAGGAUUGUCUGCAGAGCCCAUUGCAGGUGAGACCAGUAUGGACCAGUUUGAACUGGGAGCAUCCCAGUAACCUCCCAGUACAGCCCCGUAACCAGAAACCCCAAACCAGUAACAAAAAAACCCCAAACUCACUCCCAGUCCAUCCCAGUAACACCAAACUCACUCCCAGUCCAUCCCAGUUCAUCCCAGUUCAAACCAGUAACCCCCCAGUACAGCCCUGACCCCAAACCAGUAACUCCCAGUAACCCCAAACCCAUCCCAGUCCAUUCCAGUAACCAAAAACCCCAAACCAGUAACUCCCAGUAAGGAAAAACCCCAUCCCAGUGACCCCAAACUCACUCCCAGUCCAUCCCAGUUCAUCCCAGUCCAUCCCAGUCCAUCCAAGUCCAUCCCAGUAAUCCCCCAGUACAGCCCAGUAACCAAAAACUCCAAACCAGUCCAUCCCAGUCCAUCCCAGUUCAUCCCUGUAACUCCCAGUAAGCCCUGACCCCAAACCAGUAAAUGCCAGUAAGGAAAAACCCCAAACCAGUAACAUAAACCCCAAACCAGUCACUCCCAGUAACUCCAAACUCACUCCCAGUCCAUCCCAGUCCAUCCCAAUUAGCUCCCAGUACAGCCCGGCAACCAAAAACCCCAUCCCAGUAACUCCCAGUAAGCCCUGACCCCAAACCAGUAACCAAACCCCUCGGCCUACGAGCUGUAUGCACGGGGGUACGAGGAUUGUCUGCAGAGCCCAUUGCAGGUGAGACCAGUUCAGACCAGUAUAGACCAGUAACACACUGGGAGCAUCCCAGUUAGCUCCCAGUAUAGCCUGGUAACCAAAAACCCCAAACCAGUAACUCCCAGUAAGGAAAAACCCCAAACCAGUAACAAAAAACCCAAAACCAGUAACACAAACCUCAAACCACUAGCUCCCAGUCCAUGCCAGUUUGAUCCC